RNAcentral lists this ribosomal RNA (560 nucleotides) under uncultured bacterium. Its description in RNAcentral is "bacterial SSU rRNA". It matches the Rfam family "Bacterial small subunit ribosomal RNA", at positions 338 to 916 of the family's 1533-position model. The record is from RNAcentral.
CCUACGGGAGGCAGCAGUGGGGAAUCUUGCGCAAUGGGCGAAAGCCUGACGCAGCCAUGCCGCGUGUAUGAUGAAGGUCUUAGGAUUGUAAAAUACUUUCACCGGUGAAGAUAAUGACUGUAGCCGGAGAAGAAGCCCCGGCUAACUUCGUGCCAGCAGCCGCGGUAAUACGAAGGGGGCUAGCGUUGCUCGGAAUUACUGGGCGUAAAGGGAGCGUAGGCGGACAUUUAAGUCAGAGGUGAAAUCCCGGAGCUUAACUUCGGAACUGCCUUUGAUACUGGGUGUCUUGAGUGUGAGAGAGGUAUGUGGAACUCCGAGUGUAGAGGCGAAAUUCGUAGAUAUUCGGAAGAACACCAGUGGCGAAGGCGACAUACUGACUCAUUACUGACGCUGAGGCUCGAAAGCGUGGGGAGCAAACAGGAUUAGAUACCCUGGUAGUCCACGCCGUAAACGAUGAUUGCUAGUUGUCGGGAAGCUUGCUUCUCGGUGACGCAGCUAACGCAUUAAGCAAUCCGCCUGGGGAGUACGGUCGCAAGAUUAAAACUUAAAGGAAUUGACGG